AAAAAAAAAAAAACAACAGAAUCCAACAGGCGCAUAAUUUAUUUGCGUGUGCUAGCUGUAGACUGCUAACCCUAAAGUCUAGAGUUUGAAUCCGUGUUCAAGUCAGCAGAACGUCCCUGAGUCGACACAGCUCUGAUGGGUACCUAACUCACGUUAGGCAAAGUAAAGACGUCUGGGCAAUGACUACACUAUCCCUUUAUAAGACGAGGUCACAGAAACAGGAGCAUGCGCAGUGUGUCAAGGUUACUCUGUCACGUGGUUCAACUAAUGUAUGUCAGCGGGCGGGAUCUCUACAAUGUGGACUUGUCCUUGCUCCGCAUUCGUUAUUUAGGGCUCCUUUUUAUGUCAGGCCAUUUUUUCCCCUGCUCCUUUUUUUUCCUGUUUAAAUCUGGCUUGUUUAUCGAAAUCGUGACUUGUCCCAAGUCCCGUAACUCGAUUACAAGAUGGAGGCCUUGUUGUCCUUCCUGUCGGUUAAUUGCAUUAAGAUAGCAGUUGACCCGAAGACAAAGCAGGUAAAUAAAUCUCUAGACCACAGAUUUUCAAGAAUGCGGCACAGGUUUUUCAAUGCGUAGAGAAUAUU
Long non-coding RNA from Physella acuta, 580 nucleotides. RefSeq lists it as uncharacterized. Lineage: Eukaryota; Metazoa; Mollusca; Gastropoda; Physidae. The record is from RefSeq and is a predicted model, not a curated record.